Molecule: non-coding RNA, 69 nt
Organism: Rattus norvegicus (Norway rat)
Lineage: Eukaryota; Metazoa; Chordata; Mammalia; Rodentia; Muridae
Source: Rfam
GGGGAUUUAGCUCAGUGGUAGAGCGCUUGCCUAGCAAGCACAAGGCCCUGGGUUCGGUCCCUAGCUCUG